RNAcentral lists this long non-coding RNA (204 nucleotides) under Oryctolagus cuniculus (rabbit). Its description in RNAcentral is "lncRNA (ENSOCUG00000034993.1)". The record is from RNAcentral. Lineage: Eukaryota; Metazoa; Chordata; Mammalia; Lagomorpha; Leporidae.
ACCAGGCCUGAUCAAGGCUGAAGCCAGGAACCAGAAGAGAUUGAGGAUAAUAGCCAAGACUCUCCAGCAGAAGCAUCAGUUGAAUUCACCUUUGUCUUCCCAAAAUGGACUUUAUUUUCUCAGAAUUCUUCCAAUUUAGCAAGUGAAGGAAGGCUGAAAUUUGUACUCUACAAGUAGGAUAAAAUAAUUCAUCAGACAUCUGAA